GCCUCCGUAUUCGAGUCUGAUAGCGAGUCGUCAUCAGUAACAGGAUCGGAAUCGGAAUCUUCGUCAGGGGGGAGCAGUUCAGAUUACAGCUCUUCGUCUUCGGAGGAAGAAAGGAGACGGAGGAGGAAGAAGAAGAAGCAGAAGAUGAAAAGUAGGCGGAGGAGAUACACCUCGUCUUCCGAGUCUUCUGAUUCGGACUCUGGGUCAGAGUCGGACUCUGAGAAAAAGAGCAGCCGACGGAAGAAGAGGCACAGCCGCAAGCGUUGAAAGACGAUGGCUGUCGGAUGGAGGUCCUUCCUUCUGGUAAGCGCUCUGGUUCCAUCAUCUCCUUACAUCUCCAGUCUUUCCUAUUCAAUUUCCAUUCUUUCUAGAUCUUGAGCUAAUUGUUUGAGCUAGAAACUAUUCUUAUUGAAUCUGCAUAUUUGUCGGACUACCUUAGGGUUUACGCUGCUUCGCUAGGAUCGAUUUCGUUUUCUUUUCCGCUUUCUCAUCAGAAAACUAGGGUUCCUCCACGACUAUUGCUGAUGAUAUUAUUAUGCUUCUCUGUUAAUUUGUUUCUAUAUUUCUGUUGCUCGCUAUUAGUAUUCGGUCUCUCUUUACCAGUGUAUGUCUUCAGCUAGCUUGAUUUUGAUCGUCAGGUAACCAAUUGGCUGCAGGUUUGAACUCUGUGAUUCCCGAUUGGUGCUGUGAGGGUUCUGUUCUGGCAUAAUGUCUAGUAAGAAAGAAGAGAUCAAAGCUGCGGCAUUGAAUGCUGCUAAGGGACUGAGUCGUGCCCAGGCUGAACGAGCGGCAACUGCUGCUGCACGCAAUGUGAAUGCAUAUGGUCAAAAGGAAGAAGGGCCGAGUAGAUGGCAGGAGAAGAGGGAAGCAAAGCGGCAGAUGUAUUUGAUGAGUACGGAGAAGCAAGUGAGAUUGGGGGAGAGAAAAGACGUCAAAUCUUCCAUGACUGCUGCUGGUGGCGGCACUGCUCAAUGCCAGAAGUGUUUCCAAGCCGGGCACUGGACUUUUGAGUGCAAGAACGAAAGGGUUUACAUGGCCAGACCCUCCCGUACCCAGCAGCUUAAGAACCCGAAGCUGAAAAUGAAGGUUGCGGUGUCUUACGAUCUGGAAGAACCCGAAACUCUUAACGAGGAGAAGGAUAAGAAGAAGACGUCGUCUAAGAGCAAGAGGAAACAUAGAUCGGAUUCUGGUUCAGGUAGCGACAGCGAGGCCUCCGUAUUCGAGUCUGAUAGCGAGUCGUCAUCAGUAACAGGAUCGGAAUCGGAAUCUUCGUCAGGGGGGAGCAGUUCAGAUUACAGCUCUUCGUCUUCGGAGGAAGAAAGGAGACGGAGGAGGAAGAAGAAGAAGCAGAAGAUGAAAAGUAGGCGGAGGAGAUACACCUCGUCUUCCGAGUCUUCUGAUUCGGACUCUGGGUCAGAGUCGGACUCUGAGAAAAAGAGCAGCCGACGGAAGAAGAGGCACAGCCGCAAGCGUUGAAAGACGGUGGCUGUAAGAUGGAAGAAGAUUAUUAAUCUCUGAGGAUACGAAGUGCCGGAGCAUGUUAGAUACAGAGGAAUGAUUGUAAGAUGUUGAUGGCCCCUAGUUGAAAUAAGUUGGCAGACGAAUGAGUGGCUUCCUUGCUGAAUGUUGUUACCUCAGUUGUGUUUUUGUAUGAACAAAAUUAGCUGUGUUUAGUUAGUUUGUUGAGCUUGUUAUUUGAUAGCUGUGUGCUACUCUCUUGUCAUGUUUCUUGAAUUUGGUUGUCAAAUUAAUUAGCAGUUUUCCUACUUCUCGUCUUUUAACUCCGUGUUCCAAGUUUGUUUUACAUGAGAAAAAAAUAUAACAUUAUGUGGUGUACGAUUGGUUUCGAAC
Molecule: long non-coding RNA, 1851 nt
Filed under: Linum usitatissimum (flax)
Lineage: Eukaryota; Viridiplantae; Streptophyta; Magnoliopsida; Malpighiales; Linaceae
Description: long non-coding RNA (LUSI_LNC003808)
Source: RNAcentral